CCUGGUGGCUCAGAUGGUAAAGAAUUUGCCUGCAAUGCAAGAGACCCAGGUUCAAUCCCUGGGUCAGGA
RNAcentral lists this transfer RNA (69 nucleotides) under Ovis aries (sheep). It matches the Rfam family "tRNA". From Rfam's summary of the family: Transfer RNA (tRNA) molecules are approximately 80 nucleotides in length. Their secondary structure includes four short double-helical elements and three loops (D, anti-codon, and T loops). Further hydrogen bonds mediate the characteristic L-shaped molecular structure. tRNAs have two regions of fundamental functional importance: the anti-codon, which is responsible for specific mRNA codon recognition, and the 3' end, to which the tRNAs corresponding amino acid is attached (by aminoacyl-tRNA synthetases). tRNAs cope with the degeneracy of the genetic code in two manners: having more than one tRNA (with a specific anti-codon) for a particular amino acid; and 'wobble' base-pairing, i.e. permitting non-standard base-pairing at the 3rd anti-codon position. The record is from Rfam by way of RNAcentral. Lineage: Eukaryota; Metazoa; Chordata; Mammalia; Artiodactyla; Bovidae.